AUUUAUAUAGUUUAAUUAAAACAUUAUAUUUUCAAUAUAAAAAUAAAAAAUUUUUUUUUAUAAAUA
Molecule: transfer RNA, 66 nt
Filed under: Muscidifurax raptorellus
Lineage: Eukaryota; Metazoa; Arthropoda; Insecta; Hymenoptera; Pteromalidae
Description: tRNA-Glu
Source: RNAcentral